RNAcentral lists this ribosomal RNA (265 nucleotides) under uncultured archaeon. RNAcentral describes it as "partial 16S ribosomal RNA". It matches the Rfam family "Archaeal small subunit ribosomal RNA", at positions 717 to 982 of the family's 1478-position model. The record is from RNAcentral.
ACACGACUACAUUAGAUACCCCGGUAGUCCUAGCCGUAAACGAUACUCGCUAGGUGUCGGCCACGGUGCGACCGUUGUCGGUGCCGUAGGGAAGCCGUGAAGCGAGCCACCUGGGAAGUACGGCCGCAAGGCUGAAACUUAAAGGAAUUGGCGGGGGAGCACCACAACGGGUGGAGCUUGCGGUUUAAUUGGAUUCAACGCCGGAAAUCUUACCGGGACCGACAGCAAUAUGAAGGCCAGGCUGAAGACUUUGCCGGAUUAGCUG